UUUACCAAAAACAUAGCCCUCGAAGAAAUCGAAGGUGUAACCUGCCCAAUGAUUAUUAAUUUAAAAAGCAAAAAAACUUUUAAAAUAAUUUAAAGGACGCAGUAACCUGACUGUGGUAAUGUAGCAUAAUCAAUCGCCAUUUAAUUGAUGGAUAGUAUGAAUGGUUGAACGAAUAUUACAUUGUCUCAAGUAAAAAACUUAUGAAAUUAGGAUAAUAGUUAAGACACUAUUUAAAACUGUAAGACGAAAAGACCCUAUAGAGCUUAACUACAAACUUUUUUUUAACACCAUCAUAAAAUAUGAUUUUAAAGAAAGUCAGGUAGUUUAGUUGGGGCGACUAUCUUCUAAAAAGAACGAAGACUAGCAAAGUUAACAAAAAUUAACUUAUUGUUUAAUCUACAAAUUUAACAAUUACAAAAGUAGGCUAUAAUGACCCAUUAAAUCUAAGAAAGAAGUUUAAUGAUUAAAGAAUAAAAGCUACCUUAGGGAUAACAGGAUAAUUUUGUUCUAGAGACCCUAUCGAAGACAAAGUUUGUCACCUCUAUGUUGAAUUGAGAUAUCCAGAUAAUGCAGAAGUUAUCAAAGGUAGGUCUGUUCGACCUUUAAAAUCUUACAUGAUUU
RNAcentral lists this ribosomal RNA (621 nucleotides) under Turritopsis sp. PC-2009. Its description in RNAcentral is "partial 16S ribosomal RNA". It matches the Rfam family "Bacterial large subunit ribosomal RNA", at positions 1803 to 2606 of the family's 2925-position model. The record is from RNAcentral. Lineage: Eukaryota; Metazoa; Cnidaria; Hydrozoa; Anthoathecata; Oceaniidae.